AAUCUACCCCAUCUGCCCUCCCAUCACAAUUCUUAGCAUUUUAAACUCAGGGUACACCUUAGAAUACACGUUUAAGUGCUGAGGGGAGGCGUUUAUUUUAAACAACUGAUGCCCAGGCCCCGCUCCAGACCAAGUCAAUCAGAAUUUCUAAGAACAGGCCCUGGGUAUCAGUAUUUUUAAAAGGUCCCAGGUGAUUUUAAGGUACUUCCACAGUUGAGCGAGGUUGCUUUUAGCCAUCACCUAGAGGGCUCGUCACCAGAGGGGACUGAAAUCGCAGAUUCCAAAAACAAAGACCUUGUAGAAUUUAAAAUUUGGAAGCCUGUUGCUUACAAUGAAAUCAGCUGGCUAGUCAGCCUUCACCAUCAAGAUCUAAAGCCACCUUGAACAGAUACAGCAUUCACGCCGCACCCACAAUACACCAAGAUCUGGUCCAAAUAGACAUUGUGGAGGAAUAAAAAGAAGCCCAAGGCAGAUGUUCUGCCAUCAGACCUCUCUGUCCAGAUGGAAGACCAAGAUGAAGAAACAUGGAUUAAGUUCCGUUCAUAACAACAGAAGCUGGGUUGAGCUUCUCACAGGACACGCACCGUGCCCACUGUUUUCCAGGUGCCAUCUUGGGAGACCAGGGUUCCAUCCCUGGGUUGGGAAGAUCCUCUGGAGAAGAGAAUGGAAAUCCACUCCAGUAUUCUUGCCUGGAGAAUUCCAUGGACAGAGAAGCCUGGCAGGCUACAUGGGGUCGCAAAGAGUCGGACACGACUGAGUGACUCACACGCACACACGAGUACUUAGAUUCAUAAGCACUGAAGGCUUCUGGUGGCUGGAUAGCACUCAUAUUCCCUGAAGCUCCAAAAGAGCAAUUCAGAACACUUGAAUUGAAGGAGAAUAUUAAAACUUGGUGAAUUUAGAUAAAAGAGUAUGUGAGUUUUCUGUACUGUUCGUGCAGCUGUUCUGUAAACUUGAAAUGCUUUAAAAAAAAAAAUUAAUGUUGUCCUGCUUC
Long non-coding RNA from Bos taurus (domestic cattle), 994 nucleotides. Lineage: Eukaryota; Metazoa; Chordata; Mammalia; Artiodactyla; Bovidae. The record is from Ensembl.